Non-coding RNA from Salmonella enterica subsp. enterica serovar Newport, 76 nucleotides. Lineage: Bacteria; Pseudomonadati; Pseudomonadota; Gammaproteobacteria; Enterobacterales; Enterobacteriaceae. The record is from Rfam.
GGCCGGAUAAGGUGCUUGCACCGCAUCCGGCAACAUUGUGAUGCCUGAUGACGACGCGAUUGCGUCUUAUCAGGCC